RNAcentral lists this transfer RNA (86 nucleotides) under Candidatus Aenigmatarchaeota archaeon. RNAcentral describes it as "tRNA-Leu". It matches the Rfam family "tRNA". From Rfam's summary of the family: Transfer RNA (tRNA) molecules are approximately 80 nucleotides in length. Their secondary structure includes four short double-helical elements and three loops (D, anti-codon, and T loops). RNAcentral also lists the same sequence under 1 other name. Lineage: Archaea; Nanobdellati; Candidatus Aenigmatarchaeota. The record is from RNAcentral.
GCAGGAGUCGCCUAGCCUGGUCAAUGGCGCCAGCCUUAGGAGCUGGUUCCUUAGUGGAUACGCAGGUUCAAAUCCUGCCUCCUGCA